Meleagris gallopavo (turkey) is the source of this 542-nucleotide non-coding RNA. The record is from RefSeq and is a predicted model, not a curated record. Lineage: Eukaryota; Metazoa; Chordata; Aves; Galliformes; Phasianidae.
UUGGUAUGUUACGAUUGUUUUAUAGGUGGUGAUUCGUGCUCAAAAUGGCGAACUCCUCUAUCGUAUUUCACCGUGGGCAAGAUACGUAGUCCGUUAUGAAGGCAAAGUGAAUUACGAUUGGGUACACUGGGAUCCACCACAAUCAUAUAUACGUAAGCAUCGUUCUCCCAAGAAAUUAAAAAGCCUGAGAAUCUAUGAAUCUCAUGUGGGAAUUGCUUCCCCAGAAGGGAAAAUAGCUUCUUAUAAAAACUUCACGUUUAACGUACUGCCCAGAAUAAGGGAUCUUGAUUAAAAGCACUGCAGAAAUAGCUUCUUAAGGCAGAGCAAAAUAAAAAAGUUAAAUUUAUGGAAACGGGAUGUGGACUGAAGUAUCAUUUUAAACCAAAAUACAUUCAACAGAUUUUAAAGUAAUAUGUGAUUUCAGAAAUCUAGACAGUUAUUGGAGGGCAAUUUGCUUUUGGCAUGGCUUGCUUUUCAUCUGAAAGCAGAUCUGUUGCAUGUUAGUCUUUGGAAAAUACUGUGUUCUUAAUUGGCUCUGCUAA